This 1218-nucleotide ribosomal RNA is filed under the name Triticum aestivum (bread wheat). RNAcentral describes it as "partial small subunit ribosomal RNA". Lineage: Eukaryota; Viridiplantae; Streptophyta; Magnoliopsida; Poales; Poaceae. The record is from RNAcentral.
AUGGCGCCGUCCCCGUCCCCGCCGCCGGCGGCGAGCGGAGCGCAGUACGCGCACCAGUUCCUCAACACCGCCCUCUCCCAGCGCGGGCCGUCGGCGCUCCCCUACGCGGAGGACGUCAAGUGGCUCAUCCGCAACCACCUCGUGGCCCUCGCCGACGCCUUCCCCUCGCUCCACCCCAAGGCGGCCCUCUUCACCCACAACGACGGCCGCGCCGCGCACCUGCUCCAGGCCGACGGCACCGUCCCCAUCCACCACGCCGGGGCCACCUACAACCUGCCCGCCGUCAUCUGGCUGCCCGAGACCUACCCGCGCUCCCCGCCCCUCGUCUUCCUCUCCCCCACCCGCGACAUGCUCAUCAAGCCCCACCACCCGCUCGUCGACCGCUCCGGCCUCGUCGCCAACGCGCCCUACCUCCGCUCCUGGGUCUUCCCCUCCUCCAACCUCCUCGACCUCGUCAGAUCCCUCUCCCACCUCUUCGGCCUCGACCCGCCGCUCUUCACCAGAUCCGUCGCAGCCCCGUCUCCCACUCCUCCUCCCGCUCAUCCUCCUCCUCCUCCCGCCGCCGCCUCCCCCGCCAUGCGCCCCGAGGCCGUCUAUGCUCCUGCCCCUCGCCCAUACAGGUUCCCGGCAUCGCCCCAGCUCGCCGCGCGCCAGCCGCCCACAGAGGACCCAGCCGAGGUCUUCAAGCGCAACGCCAUCUCCAAGCUCGUCGACACUGCCUAUGCUGAUGCUGCUGCCCUGCGCACCGCCCAUGAGGCUGAGGUCGACUCCCUCUUCGCCGUGCAGGCCGAGCUGCGUGGCCGGGGGGAGGCGGUGAACGACGGGGUGCGCAGGAUCACGGAGGAGAAGGAGACGCUCGAGCGCCGGCUUCAGGACGUGGUGAUGGCCACUGACGUCAUUGAGGCUUGGGUUGCCGAGAACCGCAAGGGGGCUGCUGAUGACACCGCCGAGGCGGAGGGGGCUAUCCAGCCGGCCGAUGUGCUGUCCAGGCAGAUGCUUGAGUGCACAGCUACUGAUUUGGCGCUCGAGGACACCAUCUAUGCGCUUGACAAGGCUGUGCAGGAAGGAUCGGUGCCGUUCGACGGCUACCUCAGGAGCGUGCGCGCACUUGCACGGGAGCAGUUCUUCCAGCGUGUCCUCUGCACCAAGGUUAACAAUGCGCAGCAGCAGGCACAGGUUGCUAGGAUGGCAGCACGGGCACCACAGUACGCCUCCUAG